RNAcentral lists this ribosomal RNA (1057 nucleotides) under Phorcus richardi. Its description in RNAcentral is "eukaryotic LSU rRNA". It matches the Rfam family "Eukaryotic large subunit ribosomal RNA", at positions 393 to 1278 of the family's 3401-position model. The record is from RNAcentral. Lineage: Eukaryota; Metazoa; Mollusca; Gastropoda; Trochida; Trochidae.
GAGUACGUGAAACCGUCUAGAGGUAAGCGGGUGGACCCGUCCAGUCGGCCCUCGGAAUUCAGCUUUCGGGACCGUCCGCUGGCGCUGCAAUGUGAUCCCUGGGACGCGUGCGGUGUCAGACCGGGCUCCUGAGAGUGCACUUUCCGUGUUGGCAGAGCGUCACGACCGGCUCGGCGGCGGUGAUAAGGCCUGGGGGAAGGUAGGUCGUGCGUCUUCGGGCGCGCGACUGUUAUAGACCCUGGGAGAUGGCCGCUGCCGGGCCGUGGAUCGACCCGUCGUAUGGCAGUGGGGUUUCCCGCGUUCGUUCGACUCGGAAGGACUGGCUUGCCGUGCUUCCGGACUGCGAUGCGUGGGCGGACUCUGCGAUAGCCUGCGAUGUGUUAGGGUCAGUGACACACGAUCGGUAAUCCACCCGGCCCGUCUUGAAACACGGACCAAGAAGUCCAACAUGUGCGCGAGUCAUUGGGUCCUACGAAACCUAAAGGCGUAAUGAAGGUGAAGGCAGGUUCGGCCUGCUGAGGUGAGAUCCCGGCCCUCGGGCUGGGCGCAUCACCGGCCCGUCUGCAAAGGCGGAGCAAGAGCGCACACGUUGGGACCCGAAAGAUGGUGAACUAUGCCUGAGCAGGAUGAAGCCAGAGGAAACUCUGGUGGAAGUCCGUAGCGAUUCUGACGUGCAAAUCGAUCGUCGAACUUGGGUAUAGGGGCGAAAGACUAAUCGAACCAUCUAGUAGCUGGUUCCCUCCGAAGUUUCCCUCAGGAUAGCUGGCGCUCGUAACAGUUUUAUCCGGUAAAGCGAAUGAUUAGAGGCCUUGGGGACGAAACGUCCUCAACCUAUUCUCAAACUUUAAAUGGGUAAGGAGUCGGACUCGCUUAAUUGGAGUCCGGACUGGAAUGUGAGUGCCAAGUGGGCCACUUUUGGUAAGCAGAACUGGCGCUGUGGGAUGAACCAAACGUCCGGUUAAGGUGCCUAACACUGACGCUCAUGAGAUACCAUAAAAGGUGUUGGUUGAUAUAGACAGCAGGACGGUGGCCAUGGAAGUCGGAAUCCGCUAAGGAG